Molecule: long non-coding RNA, 217 nt
Organism: Ahaetulla prasina
Lineage: Eukaryota; Metazoa; Chordata; Lepidosauria; Squamata; Colubridae
Exons: 3
Source: RefSeq, a predicted model, not a curated record
GUCAGUUGCUGCCGUAGAGCCACCCAGGAGGGCAGGAUGCAGUAAGUCUGAAAUAUGAAUAUGAUCUGAUAUUACUGAAUGAAGCUGAUGAAGUGUCGUGUCCCACUCCUCCGCUGACGGCCGGGUCAGGGAAAUCCGAAUCAGGCUUGCCUCUGCAGCUCUGCCCAAAGUCCUAGCAAAGUCCUCAGAGCAGGCAGAAGACCAGUAAGUGACUUCA